UCAUGAAAAGGGAUGACUGUGUUGCCUUCCUGCGCGCUGCCUGAGUCGGUGGGUGUGGGUGAUACACCAGUUUCAAAACUACGGCUUCUUUUGCUUUCAGUAGUUUUUGACAUCCCAGUUUGUAUAGGUGCAGUCAUUUUCAUAUGCUGAGACGAAACAGUUUUUCCUGACCUGUGAUUUGAAGCUUUAUGAUCAUCAAAAGGGAUGACUGUUUUGCCUGCCUGCGUGCUGCCUGAGUCGUCGGUGGGUGUGGGUGACAAACCAGUUUCAGAUCUACGGCUUCUUCUGCUUUCAGUUGUUUUUGGCAUCCCAGUUUGUACAGGUUCACUCGUUUUUAUAUGCUGAGACGAAACGGUUUCCCCUGACAUGUAAUUUGAAGCUUUAUGAUCAUCAAAAGGGAUGACUGCAGCCUGCGUGCUGCCUGAGUCGGUGGGUGUGGGUGAUACACCGGUUUCAGAACUACAGCUCCUGCUUUCAGUUGUUUUUGGCAUCCCAGUUUGUACAGGUUCACUCGUUUUUAGAUGCUGAGACGAAACGGUUUUUCCUGACCUGUAAUUUGAACCUUUAUGAUCAUCAAAAGAGAUGACUGUUCUGCCUGCCUGUGUGCUGCCUGAGUCGUCGGUGGGUGUGGGUGAUACACCAGUUUCAGAUCUACAGCUUCUUCUGCUUUCAGUUGUUUUCGGCAUCCCAGUUUGUACAGGUUCACUCAUUUUUAUAUGCUGAGACGAAACAGUUUUCCCUGACCUGUAAUUUGAAGCUUUAUGAUCAUCAAA
This 773-nucleotide long non-coding RNA is filed under the name Sorghum bicolor (sorghum). RNAcentral's name for it is "long non-coding RNA (SBIC_LNC016810)". The record is from RNAcentral. Lineage: Eukaryota; Viridiplantae; Streptophyta; Magnoliopsida; Poales; Poaceae.